RNAcentral lists this ribosomal RNA (388 nucleotides) under uncultured bacterium. RNAcentral's name for it is "bacterial SSU rRNA". It matches the Rfam family "Bacterial small subunit ribosomal RNA", at positions 29 to 408 of the family's 1533-position model. The record is from RNAcentral.
AACGAACGCUGGCGGCGCGCCUAAUACAUGCAAGUCGAGCGAGAAGACGUAGCAAUACGUUUGUAAAGCGGCAAACGGGUGAGGAAUACAUGGGUAACCUACCCUCGAGUGGGGAAUAACUAGCCGAAAGGUUAGCUAAUACCGCGUACGCUCCUUGGACUUCGGUUCAGGGAGGAAAGCGAUACCGUGGGUAUCGCGCUCUUGGAUGGGCUCAUGUCCUAUCAGCUUGUUGGUGAGGAACGGCUCACCAAGGCUUCGACGGGUAGCUGGUCUGAGAGGACGAUCAGCCACACUGGCACUGCGACACGGGCCAGACUCCUACGGGAGGCAGCAGUAAGGAAUAUUGCGCAAUGGGCGAAAGCCUGACGCAGCGACGCCGCGUGGGGGA